This 427-nucleotide ribosomal RNA is filed under the name uncultured bacterium. RNAcentral's name for it is "bacterial SSU rRNA". It matches the Rfam family "Bacterial small subunit ribosomal RNA", at positions 355 to 774 of the family's 1533-position model. The record is from RNAcentral.
UGAGGAAUAUUGGACAAUGGGCGCAAGCCUGAUCCAGCCAUGCCGCGCGCAGGAUGAAGGCCUUCGGGUUGUAAACUGCUUUUGUACGGAGCGAAAAGGUCUGCCCUAAUACGGUGGGCUCAUGACGGUACCGUAAGAAUAAGCACCGGCUAACUACGUGCCAGCAGCCGCGGUAAUACGUAGGGUGCGAGCGUUAAUCGGAAUUACUGGGCGUAAAGCGUGCGCAGGCGGUUAUAUAAGACAGAUGUGAAAUCCCCGGGCUCAACCUGGGACCUGCAUUUGUGACUGUAUAGCUAGAGUACGGUAGAGGGGGAUGGAAUUCCGCGUGUAGCAGUGAAAUGCGUAGAUAUGCGGAGGAACACCGAUGGCGAAGGCAAUCCCCUGGACCUGUACUGACGCUCAUGCACGAAAGCGUGGGGAGCAAACA